This 413-nucleotide ribosomal RNA is filed under the name uncultured bacterium. RNAcentral describes it as "bacterial SSU rRNA". It matches the Rfam family "Bacterial small subunit ribosomal RNA", at positions 30 to 433 of the family's 1533-position model. The record is from RNAcentral.
AGUGAACGCUGGCGGCAGGCCUAACACAUGCAAGUCGAGCGGCAGCGCGUCCGACCACCCUCGGGUGGUCGGAUGGCGGCGAGCGGCGGACGGGUGAGGAAUGCAUCGGAAUCUGCCUCGUUGUGGGGGAUAACGUAGGGAAACUUACGCUAAUACCGCAUACGACCUACGGGUGAAAGUGGGGGACCUUCGGGCCUCACGCGAUGAGAUGAGCCGAUGCCGGAUUAGCUAGUUGGCGGGGUAAAGGCCCACCAAGGCGACGAUCCGUAGCUGGUCUGAGAGGAUGAUCAGCCACACUGGAACUGAGACACGGUCCAGACUCCUACGGGAGGCAGCAGUGGGGAAUAUUGGACAAUGGGGGCAACCCUAAUCCAGCCAUGCCGCGUGUGUGAAGAAGGCCUGGUUGUAAGCAC